Molecule: ribosomal RNA, 452 nt
Filed under: uncultured soil bacterium
Lineage: Bacteria
Description: bacterial SSU rRNA
Rfam family: Bacterial small subunit ribosomal RNA
Source: RNAcentral
AGAGCGAACGCUGGCGGCAGGCCUAACACAUGCAAGUCGAACGGACUCUUCGGAGUUAGUGGCGGACGGGUGAGUAACACGUGGGAACGUGCCUCUUGGUUCGGAAUAGCUCCUGGAAACGGGUGGUAAUGCCGAAUGUGCCCUUCGGGGGAAAGAUUUAUCGCCAUUAGAGCGGCCCGCGUCUGAUUAGCUAGUUGGUGAGGUAAAGGCUCACCAAGGCUACGAUCAGUAGCUGGUCUGAGAGGAUGACCAGCCACAUUGGGACUGAGACACGGCCCAAACUCCUACGGGAGGCAGCAGUGGGGAAUCUUGCGCAAUGGGCGAAAGCCUGACGCAGCCAUGCCGCGUGAAUGAUGGAAGGUCUUAGGAUUGUAAAAUUCUUUCAGUAGGGACGUAUAAUAGACGUACUACAGAAGAACGCCCGACUAACGUCGUCGCACGCGAGCCGACGU